RNAcentral lists this ribosomal RNA (492 nucleotides) under uncultured bacterium. Its description in RNAcentral is "partial 16S ribosomal RNA". It matches the Rfam family "Bacterial small subunit ribosomal RNA", at positions 29 to 507 of the family's 1533-position model. The record is from RNAcentral.
AGUGAACGCUGGCGGUAGGCCUAACACAUGCAAGUCGAACGGCAGCACAGUAAGAGCUUGCUCUUACGGGUGGCGAGUGGCGGACGGGUGAGGAAUACAUCGGAAUCUACUUUUUCGUGGGGGAUAACGUAGGGAAACUUACGCUAAUACCGUAUACGACCUACGGGUGAAAGCAGGGGAUCUUCGGACCUUGCGCGAUUGAAUGAGCCGAUGUCGGAUUAGCUAGUUGGCGGGGUAAAGGCCCACCAAGGCGACGAUCCGUAGCUGGUCUGAGAGGAUGAUCGGCCACACUGGAACUGAGACACGGUCCAGACUCCUACGGGAGGCAGCAGUGGGGAAUAUUGGACAAUGGGGGCAAGCCUGAUCCAGCCAUACCGCGUGGGUGAAGAAGGCCUUCGGGUUGUAAAGCCCUUUUGUUGGGAAAGAAAAGCAGCAGGUUAAUACCCCGCUGUUCUGACGGUACCCAAAGAAUAAGCACCGGCUAACUUCGUG